GACGGGGGAUGCAAGUGUUAUCCGGAAUCACUGGGCGUAAAGCGUCUGCAGGCGGUUUCCUAAGUCCACUGUUAAACCUUGAGGCUCAACCUCAAAUCUGCAUUGGAAACUAGGAGACUUGAGUAUAGUAGGGGUAGAGGGAAUUUCCAGUGGAGCGGUGAAAUGCGUAGAUAUUGGAAAGAACACCGAUGGCGAAGGCGCUCUACUGGGCUAUUACUGACACUCAGAGACGAAAGCUAGGGGAGCAAAUGGG
Molecule: ribosomal RNA, 253 nt
Filed under: uncultured bacterium
Lineage: Bacteria
Description: partial 16S ribosomal RNA
Rfam family: Bacterial small subunit ribosomal RNA
Source: RNAcentral